RNAcentral lists this ribosomal RNA (381 nucleotides) under uncultured eukaryote. RNAcentral describes it as "partial 18S ribosomal RNA". It matches the Rfam family "Eukaryotic small subunit ribosomal RNA", at positions 592 to 976 of the family's 1831-position model. The record is from RNAcentral.
CAAUGGCGUAUAUUAAAGUUGUUGCAGUUAAAAAGCUCGUAGUCGGAUUUUGGCAUCACGCCGAACUGUCAGCCGAUUGGUUUGUACGGUUUGGCGGGUGCUCUCCUUCCGGAAGCUCGUUCCCUUCUUAGUUGACGGGUUCGAUGGUUCCGGGUCUUUUACUUUGAAAAAAUUAGAGUGUUCAAAGCAGGCCUAUGCUCUGAAUAGGUUAGCAUGGAAUAAUAGAAUAGGACUUUGGUUCUAUUUUGUUGGUUUCUAGGACCGAAGUAAUGAUUAAUAGGGACAGUUGGGGGCAUUCAUAUUCCAAUGUCAGAGGUGAAAUUCUUGGAUUAUCGGAAGAUGAACUUCUGCGAAAGCAUCUGCCAAGGAUGUUUUCAUUGA